This is a microRNA precursor of Equus caballus (horse), 135 nucleotides long. The record is from Ensembl. Lineage: Eukaryota; Metazoa; Chordata; Mammalia; Perissodactyla; Equidae.
GGCGGCGGGCGGAGGCGUGGCCAGGCAGUAUAAGAACGGAGGGGGCGGCGGCGCUACGGCUCAUUCGGUGCAGCUGCCUGGGGGCUGUAGUGUCCGCGCCGCUCCUGCUGGGGGCUGCCCACGCCAAAGACCUGC